AACGAACGCUGGCGGCAGGCCUAACACAUGCAAGUCGAGCGAGCAUUUCGGUGCUAGCGGCGGACGGGUGAGUAACGCGUGGGAACGUGCCCUUUUCUGCGGAAUAGUCCUGGGAAACUGGGGGUAAUACCGCAUACGCCCUUUUGGGGAAAGAUUUAUCGGAGAAGGAUCGGCCCGCGUUGGAUUAGGUAGUUGGUGGGGUAAUGGCCCACCAAGCCGACGAUCCAUAGCUGGUUUGAGAGGAUGAUCAGCCACACUGGGACUUAGACACGGCCCAGACUCCUACGGGAGGCAGCAGUGGGGAAUCUUAGACAAUGGGGGCAACCCUGAUCGAGCCAUGCCGCGUGAGUGAUGAAGGCCUUAGGGUUGUAAAGCUCUUUCAGCUGGGAAGAUAAUGACGGUACCAGCAGAAGAAGCCCCGGCUAACUCCGUG
This 433-nucleotide ribosomal RNA is filed under the name uncultured bacterium. RNAcentral's name for it is "partial 16S ribosomal RNA". It matches the Rfam family "Bacterial small subunit ribosomal RNA", at positions 29 to 507 of the family's 1533-position model. The record is from RNAcentral.